UACGAAGGGGGCUAGCGUUGCUCGGAAUUACUGGGCGUAAAGCGCACGUAGGCGGUUUCUUAAGUCGGUGGUGAAAUCCUGGAGCUCAACUCCAGAACUGCCUUCGAUACUGGGAAACUUGAGUUCGGGAGAGGUGAGUGGAACUGCGAGUGUAGAGGUGAAAUUCGUAGAUAUUCGCAAGAACACCAGUGGCGAAGGCGACCACCUGGACUGAUACUGACACUGAGGUGCGAAAGCGUGGGGAGCAAACAGG
RNAcentral lists this ribosomal RNA (253 nucleotides) under uncultured prokaryote. RNAcentral describes it as "partial 16S ribosomal RNA". It matches the Rfam family "Bacterial small subunit ribosomal RNA", at positions 524 to 776 of the family's 1533-position model. The record is from RNAcentral.